UGGCACAGUGGUUAAAGCAUUCGACUGCUAACCGAAAGGUCGGUGGUUUGAAACCACC
Molecule: transfer RNA, 58 nt
Filed under: Loxodonta africana (African savanna elephant)
Lineage: Eukaryota; Metazoa; Chordata; Mammalia; Proboscidea; Elephantidae
Rfam family: tRNA
About the family: Transfer RNA (tRNA) molecules are approximately 80 nucleotides in length. Their secondary structure includes four short double-helical elements and three loops (D, anti-codon, and T loops).
Source: Rfam by way of RNAcentral